This 70-nucleotide microRNA precursor is filed under the name Oryctes borbonicus. Its description in RNAcentral is "mir-1175 microRNA precursor family". It matches the Rfam family "mir-1175 microRNA precursor family". The record is from Rfam by way of RNAcentral. Lineage: Eukaryota; Metazoa; Arthropoda; Insecta; Coleoptera; Scarabaeidae.
UGAGUAAGUGGAGUAGUGGUCUCUUCACUUUUAUUAGAACAGUGAGAUUCAACUCCUCCAUCUUAUUUUA